AUGUCUUUAAAAAAAAAAAGAGAGAAAAGAAACGUAAAUGCACAUAUUUCUCAGCUCAGUUGUACCUUGGUGUGCCUAGAACCCACAGCCUUAUUUUGGGACAAUAUCAGGGGUUUUAACCAGAAUACACGAUGUUCUGUAGAGGACAGUUUCAUUGAGUUUUUUCCCCCCACAUUUCUAUUACUGUUGGUUCUUUUUUUGCAGUUGUUGAGUCUAAAUAUCAUCAAGGGUGUUGGUUUAACUGCUGGAUACAGUCAAAGGCUUUAUAAGGAUUCUGUGGAGUCAAACUAAGUACACCACAUGAUUAAGUAGCUUAGAAUCACCUUUAGCAGUAAUAACUUGAAGUAACUUUAUCAGUGGUGUUUUGGCACGCUAUUAUUUACAAGGUUGCUUCAGGUCAUUGAGCUUUGUGGGAUUCAUUUAUGUGCAACCUCUUUAGGUCCCACCUCAGUAUUUCUAUCACAUUGAGGUCUGGACUGUGACUGGGCCCAUGCAGCACCUGGAUUCUUUUCUUUUUCAGUCAUGCUGUUGUAGUUUUGCUGCUGUAAUCCUGAUUUUUGUCUUGUUGCAUGAUCAUGGUCCAGUUUGGCCCCAACUUUAGCUGUUGGCAGAUGGUCUCACAUCUGACUCUAGAACUACGUGGUUGACUCGGUGACUGCAAGGUACCAAGAGCUUGUGGCUAGAAAACAAACCCAAAUCAUCACCCCUCCACCACCGUGCUGGACUCAGUAUGAGGUGUCUGUGCAGUGCAUUAUAGCUAAACAUCUCCAAUUUUCUCCCAUUUGUAAAAUGACAUUGUUUCUGAACUCUCAAGUUCUCCUGGCAACCCUUUCAAACCCUUUUCAAACUAGUCAUACUAGCUGAGAACGAACAAAUUUGCUGGGGCAUCCAUUCCUAGGGAGAGUUUAGCACUGAGUUAACACACAAACCCAAGGACUCCAGAUCAGCAAAGUGCAAUAAUGUCUACUUUUGCUUUUGCUGAUCAUCAAUUAAUCAGCAUCCUCAGAAUUUGUGUGGAAGCAGUAAGGAUGUGUUUAAUUCUUCCCAGGAUUGCAUAAAGUGCUGUGAAAGCUUUUCUUUCACAUGACUGUAUAUUAUUUUGGAGUACAUCUGAAGUGAACUGUUAGUGAUAUGGUUAUGAAUGACGAGUUAGUGAUAUUAAUUAAGUAUAGCCGGUAAAAAUUGUGACCAGAAAUUUAAGUGGAAACAGAAAGGGGAUGCGGUUAUCAGAGUUUUUGUUGCAUCAGCAAAUGGUAGUAUGACGCAAAGUGGAGAUAUGUGGUCAACUAAGGAAGAAGUUCAAAUUGUAGUUCAUAUGUGAAAACACCAGAUAAGGAUGCAAAAGCAGCUAAUCUGACUAUGUCCAUAGGUUAAAAAAAAAGAAAGAAAAAAAAAAAGAAAGUUUAAGCCACAGAAGCAUGCAGCUUUAUGUCCACGUCAGCGCUGACCACAGCUCAGUCAUCACCAUCACUCAGCUGGUCACUUGGGAGUGGCUGGGUCUCAGUAGUCUGCUGUCACUGUGACUAAUAAGAAGCAUCUGCAGAUCCAUAAAUAUAAACAGACACACAGACUAUUUUAUACUGCACAAAGAUUGACUGGUGCACAAAAAACUCCUAAUAGUAGGGGUUACACAGUACACCCACAUAUGUGUGCAGGAAAAAAUCAUAUCCAGAAUGCAGCUGAGAUUUUGUUUGAUAUACAAAGUAGCUGUGUGAAGACUCCAGUAGUUAUUGGACCCAGAAACCAGGAGAAUAGUGAAUCACAUAAGCUGGAUUGAAUUGAGAGUUAGAGCAACCCACAAAAAGCUUUAAUAUUUGUAACUUUAUUAUAUUGAUAGCACGAUUGGCCAGGCCAGGCCAGAGAAAAGAAAAAAAAAAAUCAGCUUUUGCAUCAGAUAUUUGGGGAACAUAUAUCUAAAAUGUAGAACAUGAACAUUAGAUCCGUUACAGUUAUGUAAUUAAUUUGUAUCCCUUUAUUUUCACAGUGAAGGAAGAGUCACUUUGUUCAACAUGUGGCUGUGUGAUGGAGAAGGCAAGCUAAUUAUAAUAUAAACACUGCAAACAGUGGCUAAUAGCUAGCUUGGCUUUCUCCAAAGGUUAGAACCAAAAACUCACUCUGUAAGACUGAAGUAAAGAACAUAUAGUGUGUUAAAUUUUGAGUGUAGCCAGGUUAGCUUUUGCUACUUUUCACAGUGUUUAUGCUAAGCUAACUGAGCUGACCCUUUUAACUGGACAGAUGUCAGAGUGAUAUUGUUCUUCUGUUCAGUUUUCUGGUGAUUACACAUUAGUCAUUACUUUGAAAGAGAGAUAUUGUGUGUGUGUGUGUGUGUGUGUGUGUGUGUGUGUAUUGCACAAGUAGUAGAAAAAGUGCUUUUUCAGCUGGUUAAUACCAUUUCGGUUAGCAUUGUUGCUGGGAGCUAUAACAAGGUAAAUUUUGUCACCUUGUCAUGACUUGCUGGGUUUUUCCU
This is a long non-coding RNA of Oreochromis niloticus (Nile tilapia), 2467 nucleotides long. NCBI's taxonomy places the organism in Eukaryota, Metazoa, Chordata, Actinopteri, Cichliformes, Cichlidae. The record is from Ensembl.